RNAcentral lists this ribosomal RNA (441 nucleotides) under uncultured bacterium. Its description in RNAcentral is "partial 16S ribosomal RNA". It matches the Rfam family "Bacterial small subunit ribosomal RNA", at positions 338 to 795 of the family's 1533-position model. The record is from RNAcentral.
CCUACGGGGGGCUGCAGUAGGGAAUUUUCGGCAAUGGGGGGAACCCUGACCCAGCAACGCCGCGUGAAGGAUGAAGGUUUUCGGAUUGUAAACUUCUGUCGCGAGGGACGAAGAAUGACGGUACCUCGUAAGAAAGCCCCGGCUAACUACGUGCCAGCAGCCGCGGUAAUACGUAGGGGGCAAGCGUUGUCCGGAAUGACUGGGCGUAAAGGGAGUGUAGGCGGCCUUGUAAGUUAGAUGUGAAAUCCUACGGCUUAACCGUAGAACUGCAUCUAAAACUGUGAGGCUGGAGUGCAGGAGAGGUGAGUGGAAUUCCUAGUGUAGCGGUGGAAUGCGUAGAUAUUAGGAGGAACACCAGAGGCGAAGGCGACUCACUGGACUGUAACUGACGCUGAUGCUCGAAAGUGUGGGUAUCAAACAGGAUUAGAUACCCUUGUAGUC